UCCAGACUCCUACGGGAGGCAGCAGUGGGGAAUAUUGCACAAUGGGGGAAACCCUGAUGCAGCGACGCCGCGUGAGUGAAGAAGUAUUUCGGUAUGUAAAGCUCUAUCAGCAGGGAAGAAAAUGACGGUACCUGACUAAGAAGCCCCGGCUAACUACGUACCAGCAGCCGCGGUAAUACGUAGGGGGCAAGCGUUAUCCGGAUUUACUGGGUGUAAAGGGAGCGUAGACGGCAUGGCAAGUCAGAUGUGAAAGCCCGGGGCUCAACCCCGGGACUGCAUUUGAAACUGUCAGGCUGGAGUGCAGGAGAGGUAAGUGGAAUUCCUAGUGUAGCGGUGAAAUGCGUAGAUAUUAGGAGGAACACCAGUGGCGAAGGCGGCCUGCUGGACUGCAACUGACGUUGAGGCUCGAAGGCGUGGGGAGCAAACAGGAUUAGAUACCCGCGUA
RNAcentral lists this ribosomal RNA (445 nucleotides) under uncultured bacterium. Its description in RNAcentral is "bacterial SSU rRNA". It matches the Rfam family "Bacterial small subunit ribosomal RNA", at positions 330 to 792 of the family's 1533-position model. The record is from RNAcentral.